AAACCAAACAUUUCUAAACUGUUUCUGUUACCUAGAGUUAAGUUAUGAUUCAUGGUCGAUAAAUUUAACUCUUAAAAGUUCAUGAAACAGUCUGAAAAGCUGUUGGUCUAAAGAAACUAAAGAGCGAUAACUCGGCUUCUGGAGCACAUAGAAAAACGGGAAACAUCUCAUUUUAACACAAAUUUCAUGAUUAGACAGAUUAGUACAUUGCUGAAUGCAUAAGAUGUCAUGAUCAGUCAUUUGUAUUCUUUCACCAACGGAAUGUAGUCUUUAUCAGUGCAUGGUCGAGCAGGGUUUUACGACCGAGGUCUGGAGGUCAGUGUCCCCCCUUAUCCUGGGGUCCGUAUGUUCACACACUUUAAGACGCUAAAUCUCAAAUGGGAGAUCUGGGUUGAGGUUAAUGUUUAUUUAGAUGGUCAGCGAUGGAGUCAGUUUGAAAGGUAAUAAAAACUCUGUCUCUGUUCUCCGAAUCGACCAAUCGUGAAGAGUCAGAGGUUUAGUCAACCUCCGGUUGGGUCACUUAUUUAACCUGAAAGUGUAAACGAGUCUGGAAAGAUUUAUAUCCUGUUUCCUGGGACCAGAUAAGGAAACUUUCCUCUGAGGAAUGUGUGGGUUUCACACCCAGGGUUGUCUUGAUUGCUACACACCAAAUAUCAGGGCUGCACGAUAUCAGAAACACAGUUGGGUUUUUUUAAGAAUAAAUACAGGACACAUCAAGGAUCAAACCAGAGAAUCACAGUGUUUUAUAAUUUUGUUUCAUCGAGAACUUUAAAAAACAAAGGUUCAUAAACUACCUUGACAGAAAAGCAAAAGCACAACAGAGUAAAAACUGAAAAACCCAGACCCACUGAAAACACAACAUAGUAAUCACAGAUUGUUCCCAAGUCCAGGGUCUCGAACAGAAAAAGCACCAACUCAGGAAUUCCUUUACCUUUAAGCCUCAAAUUUGGAAGGACCUGGAGGUUCCUACAAGAAAAUCCAAGGCUCAGAAGGGGUCAGCAGUUCUAAAAUUUAACUCAGUCAAUCCAGACAUGCUCACAGGGGCUGAGACCAGGGUGAUGUGAUACCAUCUGUUUAAGCCAAUUGAGAAGCUAAGCUGUUGCAUUCUGAGCUGCCGAGGGAGUAAGUUAAGGUUCAUACCUGGAAAGUGCUGACUCUUACAGUAAAUAGCAUGCCACCUCAGACCUCAGCAUCAGCUGAUUUUUGUCUCAUUGACAUUGACAGAUUUUAAACUAUUUAUCAUCAAGGUAUGAUCAUGCUUCCUUAACUGACCUCUUUGCUGCUGCUGGUACUCAUUUUAAGGGUUAACACUUAAACAUAAAAAAGCUCUUCUCUGAUUGGCCAAUAAAAGUAUUCUUGCCAGCUGCAGCAAUCUUCUCCUUCCUGCUGUGGACACAUGGGGCUAAUUUACAGCUCAGGAGCUCAGAUUCACCUUCAAAGUUAAUUCCAGCCGGCUCCUCUGCCUCUGUCACCUUCAAUUAUUAUCUCUGCUCUUUGCGGAGAGGUCACAGCGGAGGUCACCAACCCGCCGCUGACGUCUCCAGCAGGAAGUGGUUGUCCAACUGGCUCCGGUCUCUCUUGACUGUGACCCCUGGUGCCCUACAGGUGUGUUUUUCAGGUCAUCCUGCCAAUUAGAAAGCUCAUGUGUAUGCAGAGGCAGCAAUGCUCAUUAAACUAAUAUGAAUGCAAUUUUACUGGCCAGAUAAACAGGGUUUUUAAAUAGUAAAAAAGCAGAGAUCAUUCUGAGCUCCUCUGCAGCAUGUCCUGAUUAUUCACUUUUUAAUUGGUCUGAAGUUUGCAGGAACGUCAGGAGUUGUGAAAUUCACUCCAGUUUAUGACACCUUCUUAUCUGGAGAGUGUUUAAACCGGAGUUGUUGGCAUGUGCUUACAUACAAUAAGUCAGAUCAGUGUCCACAUUUCAAUGGGGGCAAAGCAGCAACUGGGUCAAAACACUCGUCGCCAAUUGGGGGUGGGGGGGUGGGUCUUCAGUUUUUUGCCUUUGAUUCAAAUUAUUUUGCAACAUCUCACCACUGUACUAAGAUACUCUGAUAAUGCUGGACCCCAGAAAUACCAAUCUAACAUUAAUACAUCUAUAUUAAAGGUCAACACUAGGUCCACAUUUCAAGGUCCUCUAAAGCAGGGUUCCUGGUUCAUGAUGAUUUAAAGGUUACCUAAAGCAAUCCAAAUCAAUUUAUUGUUUGUCCAUGAUUUCCAAAAAGAAUGUCAGGUUGUGAUCCAUCAGACCAUCAGAGAGGUCUUUGGGUUCCUCUCAAAUAAAGGUUUUAAAUGUUUUGUAACUAUCAGAAUCAGUUUAGGUUACAGAUGCAGAUAACCAACAUUAGAGUUGGCAUAAAGAGAGGAGCCAAAAAGAAGUUAAAAAAGCCUGAUUCUUUGAGUCCCUGCACACCUUGCUGUGCUAAGCGUCCAUGAUUGAGUGUCUGAAAAAAGGCUGAAAGGAUGUCAGACCGUUUCUCCUUUAUGGAGAGGUAAGAUGAUGUUUUCAGGAGCUGGCAGCACUUCUUUUCCUCUUUUGGUCUUCAGAGAGUCAUCUGUAUUAAAGGUCUGUGAUCAUCCUGAGAGACAGCUAAUACAAUUUUCUCUCUUUCCACCAAGACGACUGUCUUCAGAAGACACAGAUCCAGUUUUUACACCAAUAAACCAACUCAGUAAGAAGCUCCAACAUUCGGAUAAACCAAACCAGAGACUCUCUUGAAGAUACUUAUUGAUAUGAGUGGAGAAUCACAGACUGAUAGUAAAUCUCAUCAAUCACAGGGGGUAUUUUGUCUUAAACAAGUUCUUGGCCAGUAAAAUAAGAGUUAAAGGAUGCUUGGUGUGGGUUUGGAAAUUAUCAUUCAGAGAGACAAUAACCAGUUAUACUAGGUAACCUUUUUAAGGGUGUUCCACAGGGCUCCUGGGUCUUUUUUUUACCAUCUACAUAAAGGAUGUUGUCUCCAUGCUCUCAAACUGUCAAACAGUCUAUAUGCAGAUGACACCUGAAGAAGUAGAGGCCUUUACUGACCAUAUCAACACAGUGGACAGCAACAUCAAAUUCCGUGAAGAUGUUAAGGACGAUGUGUUGGCCUUUUUGGACUGUGCUGUACACUUGAAGGCAGACGGGUGUCUCAACGUUGAAGUUUACAGGAAACCCACACACACAGAUCAAUAUCUAUUUUUUGAUUCCCACCAUCCUCUACAACACAAACUGGGUGUCAUCAGAACACUCAACCACCGGGGUGAGAACAUUCCCACGAAGAAAGAAGGUGAGGAAAGGAACAGAAGCACAUCAAAAAUGCCCUGACAACCUGUGGAUACCCUAAGUGGGCCUUUGUGAAGAACAAAAAGAAUAAUAACACUGAACACGAAAGGGAGGAGAGACGCAAGAGCACUGUAAUCCCUUACGUUGCAGGCCUGUCGGAAAAACUCAAGAGGAUCUUUGGCAAACACCAUAUUCCUGUUCAUUUCAAGCCUGGCAACACACUAAUUGCAGAGGCUAGUCCAUCCCAAGGACAAAACACCGAGACAUAAACAGAGUAAUGUGAUGUAUGCUGUCUAGUGCAGCGAGGAAUGCUCGGACCUGUACAUUGGGGAAACUAAACAACCGCUUCACAAGCGCAUGGCUCAUCACAGGAGAGCCACUUCCUCAGGUCAGGACUCAGCUGUCCACCUUCACUUGAAGGACAUGGGUCACUCUUUCGAGGACAGCAAUAUACAGGUGCUGGCUAGAGAAGACAGAUGGUUUGAAAGAGGAGUUAAAGAAGCCAUCUUUACCAGGCUGGAGAAACCUUCUCUGAACAGAGGGGGUGGACUCAGGCACAAUCUCUCUGGCACUUACAAUGCAGUUCUCAGCUCUCUCCCCAGGAAGCUCCACAAACACUCACCCCAGGGACCACAUGACCCAGGUUUCGUGGUCACAUGACAGGGGUCAUUAACGACCCUUUUAGGUUAACGAUUGGGGGGGGGGGGGGCACACCCGAAGAUGGGUUUCUACGACCCAACCCCUCCCAGCUGUUGUCUGUCCCCUUCUCCAGUAAGAUAAAUAUCUGCUCCUCACACUACCAAUAAUGAGAACUGAAGAAGCUUCUUGGAUAAGAGGCGAAACGUCUUCUCAACUCUACACAGUCCAGUUGCCUGAUUAUGGAGUCAACCAUGACCUGGAUGAAUGAGAAUCUACAUGGAUGAUCUGUUUGAUAAUUACAGUCUUUUUCCCCCUUUACUAUUUGUCUUUUCUUUCACUUCCAUGUGAUUAUUUUUUUCUCAUUUGAUAAUUUUUGUGGACUCUAACCAGUCUCUUGUCUUUACUCUAUGCAUGUUUUGUGAACUGCCUUUGUAAUAUCUCUGAAAAUAAUCUCUUAAGUCUACACCAAGUGGAAUGAAUGAACAAGUUUUGUCCACCCACCCAUUUUAUUCCCUUUGGCACGUUGGCAGCAGGUCAGCCAGCAACAUUUCCAAGCGGGUCUUCAGUGAGUCUGAGAUAUUCCAAGAUCAGAUCAGAUAUUUAAUCCCUCAACAGAGCUAUGGGUCUACCUCAUGGCCCCAGAAAACCUCCAGGGAGGCUCCCCGAGAUCCUACAGAUACCUGGACCACCUCUGGUUUAGACAUCCUCUCACCAUAUAUCACUCAUGUUCUAAAACCAGCAGAUGGAAAGGUGAUUUUCCAGGUGAGCCCACUGACAGCACAUUUAGUCAGUGAGUCAUUCCUCCCCUCAGGUUGCCAGAUCUGCCUGAGAGGCUGAAGUCUGAGGGCUCUAUUAUCGUGUCCGCCAACGGCGCGGCGGAGGGUGGCAGACCCUGCGCAGUGGUAUUUUCGUCUGGCGGAGCCCGGCAUACAGCCAGUUUGUUUUUUUUUGUGGACUGGGGCGCACCAAGGUCCACCAAGCUGGGCGUGGUGGCGUAUCGGCAUACGUCACUGAUGCCUCACCGGCACCAGUGUCAGGCACAUUUCAGUGCAAUAAACAAUCAACAACAACUAAUAAUCUGAGUCAGCACAUACAUUUAGAGUCCAUGAUAUAUUCUGAUCUGAUCUGAUGAGCGCAUUUGGCACACGUUUGGACACUCAACCUGACCAAACUAACUCCUAGUUAGUUAUUUAAUUUAAGCCUACAUACAAAUAUCAUAAUAUUCAGUUUUGUGAGCCAAAUUUAUUUUAUAUGCCAACAUCUAUGAAAGAAAGAGCCAGGCCACGGAGCGCGAUGCGUCAUUUUCGCACAGAUGGUUCCGAUUUUAAUGCCAUUAUUGGUAUUUAUGUUGUGAUAUGUGCGCACAACCCACCUUUGUCAAGUGAGGUUUAAAUAUGUGUUACUUUAUGUGAGUGUCUUUAUUUGUGGAAAAGGAUGUUUGUCUUACCAGUGGGUACAACCUUUCACACACUUAAUCCCUCUGUGCUUAUAUGAGACAGUGGCUGUGUCCGAAAUGGCCUACUACUCCUACUACUCCUACUAACCCCGCCUCUGAAUUGAGUAGGCAGUGCGUUCACAUUGUACAGUAUGCGAAUUUUGUGUAUGCGAGAAAUGCCCGGAUGUAUACUCAAUCAGCUUCGAUUUCUGAGUGUGCAACGGAGCUUGCUUCACGUACUGCUUCUGCCCCACAAUGCAUUGCGCACCUCAGCUGGUAAUAUGGCCCUCCUUCCCGAGGCUGAAAAGAAAUAGAUGGCAUGUGAUUGCAAUAAUAAUGAUAUAUAUAUAAAUAGAUAAACAAUAUUUAGUCAGUAUACAUUACACAAUUUUCAUCAUUUUAUCAUAUUUUGAUCUUUUUACCAGAUUUAUUUGUAUUUUAAAUUAGGAUUAUAAGUAAUGUUUUUAACUACUCGUAUGAAUUGACUUUAUUUAUUUAAGUGUCUAUUAAAGAUGUAUUUAUUACAUCAAGUUUGAGCAUCUUCUCAUCUCUGAAUGCAUCAUCAAAGUGGUCGCUCAUAUUAAGCUCAGACCUCUGAUUAAUAAAAAUUAUUAUUGGUAGAGAGCACAUGGUUCAGAAUAUACAAACGGGGGAGUUUCCAGUUGACAAUGUAUGUGAGCUUUACUAAUUCUUACUUGUGAUUGAAAAUCUGAUGGUUUCUGAAAUAAUCAUUGUACAUGAAAAGAAUGUAGUCGGGAAAUGAUGUAUUUGCCAAGGAAUGACCGAACGAGUUCAUAAUAAUUAUGUUGUGUGUUGGUCAUUUUGCAGCCCUCUGCUGCUCAUCACACGCCUAGCAGGUGGUGUAUAGCAUUAUCACCAUGGAUACACGGAUGUUUGUGUGAUUUUUUUCAUCCACUGUCGCCCGGUUUGUGUCGUGUAGAUGUUGAUUAUGAAAAAACUUCGCAAUAAUUUGGAAACGUGAAGGGGGAGCUGCUGCUGCCCGGUGUUUACGGUAAAUAGACGCAAACACCGACCAAGUGGACGCUUCGGUCUCCGAAAACGCCGAGACAAAUUUACAAACAGCCACUAUUUCAAACAACUGGGCUCAUAAUCGUGAUGUAAACACUUACUUUCUCUCUAGAAAAAAUAUUAUUAUUGAAUGAAUUUAUAUAAUUUGUCCGGAAUGCAGUCGUUCUGUGUUGCUUGUGGUAGGACUAUUUAAAUUUUCCCGGCGCUGCGUCCGGCCGGCACGAAAUGCAUUCUGGGGUAUUUAGUAUGUAUGUGUGUAAACGCUCGGGCAGCCGCGGCAUACUCAUAUCAUCUUUGAGUAGUCAGUAGGCAGUAGCUACUGCUUGAGUAGGUAAGUAGAUAGUAGGCAGUAUGCCAUUUCGGACACAGCCAGUGUGCAGGACGCCCUCUGCAGCGCUUACAGCGACACAUGUUGAGGAGCUGCCUUCUGUUGCCGUCGUGUGGCAUUGCUGUCUUCAGACAUCUCUUGAUCUCUUUGACUACUUCACAAAAAUUUUAAUACGCUUCUGCGGUGGCAGAUUUAAAGGCGAGGAGAGGAGCUUAUGUUAUUGGUCAAUAAAGCUCUCGGCUGUGUUAAACCUGCUCCACGCUCUCUCUCCUCCCUCCCUACGACUUACGCCGCUGGGAGGAGCUCAGUUAGGGAGGGGGGAUACUUGCGCCGGGCUGCACCGCUCACCAAAAUACCAAAUUGUGCUUGGGAAUGCCUUGUCGGCGCGGUGGACCUGACUUACGCCAUGCCUGCGCCAUGACAUAGAGCUCUGAGUGUUGGUGUGUUCACUCAUUUAUCAUCCUGCCCUUGAUUUGCUGGUUAAAUACUUUCUUGUUGGUCUUACAGAUUUGUCUCUGUGUGAUUCUUGAUUUGAUUGUUUUGGGUUUUGUUACUCGCUGUGUUUCAACUUAAACCUUGACCUGUUUUUUUCUCCUGCAGACAUUUUAAAUAUUGACCAAAUUCUUACUUAAAAGUUGACCAUCCUGACAGGACAGGUUUUUAUCUACUGUUUUUUGAGGUCUGACCUGUCUGGACGCCAAAAGUGAUGUAUCUGUGUAGCGGUUUUAGGAGAUUCUACAUAAAUCUACCGCACAGGACAGAAAUUUGUUUACUUUGACAACCAGUAACAAGUCAGAAAAAAUGCUUCCACUUACUUUGGAUGCAUUUGGCUAUGCCAGAAAAUAACUGAACCAAGGGUCAGAUUCCAUCCUUUUCCAAAUCCAAGACUCUGAACAUCAAAUAGACUCUCUUGCCAUGGAGGCCUCCUGCCUCCAUGACAACAACACCAAUCUGCCCUGGCAUGGCCCUUCUCUCAUCCCUGACUCGGUGCACCCCAUCAUACAGUCUAUCUAGGAAAAUGACCAGGAUUGGCCUUGGCUUAGUGCGAAACCUUAAGUUCAGAACUGUUCCACACCUGCCUCCAUGGAACCUUUGACAGUCAUUCGGGGUAAGAAGCCUGGUCAGAACAACUCCCAAACUCCUUCAUCUGUUUCUACUCGUCCCUGAGGGACAUCCGGCGGGGGAACAGGUGCGAAGAACAAGAAAGAUGAACAAAAACCCAUUCAACAACCUGGAACCUCCUGCAGAUCCUGUCCCGGCAUCACUGAAGCUUCUGUCCUUGGGUCCAGUCAGAGCCUCUGCCCUGAAGUUAGGAGCAGGUAGACACUGUGCACCACCACAGCCUACCUCAUCAAGGAGAAGGAGCCCCAUGCUGUCAAGCAGAGAUGUGAAUUGUGGAGUCACCGAGUCAUCUCCAUGCCAUGUAUUUGUUCUGCUCAGUUACUGAACCAGGUGCCUUCACUAAUGAGCUCACCUUCCUGGCUGCUCACUGGAAGCAGCUGGUUCAGUGACAGAACAGAACAAAUACAUGGCAUGGAGAUGACUUGGUGACUCCACAAUUCCCAUCUCUGCUGUCAAGUGAGCCACAGCUUCAGCCUACCACUCCGGUGCUAGGGGACUCCAUUAUCCAGAAUGUCUGAUUAACUGUUGUUUUCCUGGAGCUACAGUCUGUAACAUUACCAGUAAAGUCACUGAAGUCAUCUUGACGAGACCAGGAAUCAUGACAGUCAUAAUCCACAUAGGUACAAAUGACAUCUGUAGACAGCAGUCUGAGCUCCUGAAAGCUAACUUUGUCCACUUAAUCACAACACUGCAGAGGUACAUAAACCACAUCCAUAUAUCCGGCCCCAUCCCCUCCUGUGGCUGCUGCUGUGGGUGUUUCAGUCGGCUGCUGGCACCACACACCUGGCUGUCAUCAGCCUGCAUUGCUCAUGGUGUUUACUACAUCAACAUCUUAAACCUUUUCUGGUGCAGGAGAGAUCUUUUUAAGUAGUGGAGCAGACAAAUGCAUAAUAUAGCCCGAAUCGUUCACUUUGUUAUACAAGCAUGAAAUUUGGUACAUAUACUCUUCAAACCCCACUCUUUUCAAAAAUAACGUUAGCCACGCAAAAUUCCAAGAUGGCGGCCCCAAAAUCCAAGCUGUCCGCCCCAAAAAUGCGGUUUUUCCUUUAUAACUCAAAAUGACUUGAUUUUAAGCCCCAUACAUAUAUUGAAGUUGAAUAUAAAGUUCGGUAUUGCGGACAUUUUGGUAGCCAGUACAUUUCUGUAUCCAUUACGGUUCUUGAGAUACAGCAUAUGGAUACUUGUACAGAAUUGGGAGAGUGAGAAAUUUGUAACACCGAUUGUUGUUACGUGCAUAUGGUUGCAUGAAAAUAUCAUUUCCAUUAUCUGUUAUUUUCAUGAAGGUUAUAACAUUAAAUUUGAAAAACAAGAUGGUGUCCAAGGUGGCUGCCAUUGCCUUGAAGUAAUCCGAUCUUAGUGACUAUGAAACAUUAACUUUUGGCAUGCACAUAUUUUUGGUCUAUGCAUCCAAUGGGGCCAUUGCAGUACAGAAUUUAGAUGUUUAUACAGUACAAGCUUGCAGAUGUAAUAGAGUGAAUAUCGGCACACAACCAGGGCACACUGGUGAUAUCACUGCUGUGUAACUCAGCAUGACCUCCAGGGGUUCUUUCAGCAUGAGAACCAGUCCUUCCCUGUUGCAUUGAGCAAGGGUGGAAAAUUGUACACUUGCCAGAAGUCUCAGCUGACCCCUAUCCUUGAGAAUUAUGUCCCACCUAGUUGGGUCACAAAGUGAGACUCUGUGACCAUCCUCUGGCAAGGAUGUUUUGACGAUUGAUUUGACCUCUAUGGACCCUUUAGAAAAGAUUUGGCCCCCAGGUCCCUCGCAAAAAUCCUGGCAUUUUUUGCUAGACAGCCAAAUUCAAGAUGGCGGCCGGCGCCAUCUCUAAAAAUUAACUUUUGAUCUGGAUGACCUAGAAUCAUGUAUGAAGGCACUUUUCCAUACAAGUCAACCAUGAGGAUUCCAAAUCUGACAUAGUUUUAAUCAUACAACUUUGUUUUGACCGCGAUAUUCAAGAUGGCUGCCAUCUAGUACUGUAAUUCUCAACCUUUUCAGGACUUGACCCCCCAAAACAAUCAUAUUUGAACUGGGUAACCCCCAAUUUGUUUGAGUCUGUUCCACAUAUAAAUAUUGUGAAAAUAGCCGAUCUACAAGCCUGUAACACCUUGUAUUGUGAGGCGUGUGAGCUUGCAGAUCGUCUAUUUUCUUUUUCUUAUAUUAUUUGACAAUUUGGCCAAUGGUUUAGCAUUGUUUGUUGAUUACUUUGGAUGCAGUGAGGAUCUUUUUCUUUGAGGAUCUUACAAGUCCUAACAUUAUCAUUAAACUGUCAUCUGGGGGUACGCCACCAACCAAUGAUCAAGUACAGAGAAAACUUAACUUAACAACAACAUAAAGGCCAGUGAUAUUGCACUCAAACUAUCCAGUAUGCUUGAUUCAUGUCAGCAGCAGUACUUAACUCAGGCAAUUUGAUUGGCUGUCCCUUCAUGUCAGGGAUCAUCUUUGGGUCGACUUAAUGGUAUAUGUGGCUUCAUUACACAGACUACCACACUGGAGAAUACAUGACAGUCUGUCUGUUCUUGUUGGUAUAUUAUUUUCUUCCAUAUUCAAGCAGCCAUGUAUGCUGCAUGCACACUGUCUUUACAGAUCAAAUGUGUAGCUCCUCUAACUGUGGGCUCAAAAGAAUGACUGAGGCAACAUUUAGGAAAGCAGCAGCACUAAACAAGCAGCAUGUGCUAACAUGCCCUGACAUGAAGGGACAGGAGGGUGGAGGGUGGCGGACCUCGCGCAGUUGUAUUUUCGUCCGGCGGAGCCCGACGAACCGGCGUACAGCCAGUUUGGUAUUUUCAUGGACUGAGGCACAUGGAGGCGAACCGAGAUCUGCCAAGCUGGGAGUGGUGGCGUGGCAGGGGGAGGUGUCGACAGAAUCAGCGGGCGCAGUGACAUUUUCGUGCUCGCCAAUGGCAUGUAAGUGCACUGAAAGCUCGCCGAUUCAAACCUGGUCAGCUUUCAGCGCAGGCGGAGUGCAGCUGGUCUACUAGUAUUUUGGUAGACCGACAGCAUAUCGGCAUACGUCACCGAUGCCUCACCAGCAGGUUUCCACAGUUUCAGGUAAAUUUCAGUGCAAUAAAUAAUCAUCAACAACUACUAAUCUGAGUCAGCACAUACAUUUAGAUCUAUAUAGAUAUAUUCUGAUCUAUAUCUGAUCUGAUGAGCGCGUUUGGCACACGUAUUUCUUGCGCAACUCGACCUGGACACGUCUCCGUGUCCUCUCUCUGUCCUGCUGCUGCUGAACAGAUGAUUUGUUUCAGUGAUCAGAUGAGUUAUUUACUUUAAGCCUACAUACGAAUAUUAUAAUAUUCAGUUUUGUGAGGCAAAUUUAUUUUAUAUGCCAACAUCUAUGAAAGAAAGAGCCAGGCCACGGAGCGCGAUGCAUCAUUUACACACAGAUGGUUCCGAUUUUAAUGCCAUUUUUGGAGUUUAUGUUGUGAUCUGUGCGCUCAACCCACCUUUGUCACGUGAGGUUUGAAUAUAUGCAACUUUAUGUGAGUGUCUUUAUUUGUGGAAAAGGGUGUUUGUUUUACCUGUGGGUCCAACAUUACACACACCAAAUCCAUCUGUGCUCAUAUGAGAGAGUGUGGAGGACGCCAAAUGCAGCGCUUACAGUGACACUUGUUGAGGAGCUGCCUUCUGGCAUUACUGUCUUCAGACAUCUCUUGAUCUCUCUGACUACUCCACGGAAACAGUAAUACGCCUCACUGAUGGCGGAUUUAAAGGCAAGGAGAAGAGCCUAUGUGAUUGGUGAAAACAGGUCUCGGCUGUGUUAAACCCACUCCACGCCCUCUCUCCUCCCUCGCUACGACUUACGCCGCUGGGAGGAGCUGAGUUAGGGAGGGGGGAUACUUACGCCGGGCUGCGCUGCUCACCAAAAUACCAAACUGUGCUUGGGAACGCCUUGUCGGCGCGGCGGACCUGACUUAUGCCGCGCCUGCGGCAUGUCUCCGGCGAGGCACGAAAUAGAGCCCCAUGUGUUACAGGCUUGUAGAUCGGCUACUUUCACAAUAUCUAUAUGUGGAACAGAGUCAAACAAAUUGGGGUUUACCCAGUUCAAAUAUGAUUGUUUUGGGGGGGUCAAGUCCUGAAAAGGUUGAGAAUCACAGUACUAGAUGGCAGCCAUCUUGAAUAUCGCGGUCAAAACAAAGUUGUAUGAUUAAAACUAUGUCAGAUUUGGAAUCCUCAUGGUUGACUUGUAUGGAAAAGUGCCUUCAUACAUGAUUCUAGGUCAUCCAGAUCAAAAGUUAAUUUUUAGAGAUGGCGCCGGCCGCCAUCUUGAAUUUAGCUGUCAAGCAAAAAAUGCCGGGAUUUUUGCGAGGGACCUGGGGGCUAAAUCUUUUCUAAAGGGUCCAUAGAGGUCAAAUCAAUCGUCAAAACAUCCUUGCCAGAGGAUGGUCACAGAAUCUCACUUUGUGACCCAACUAACCAGUUGACAAGGAACCUGAGGCAGACGUUCUCAUUGUAGAUGGGUCAGCUUUGGACCACGCCCUGCCACCAAAAAGAUCCAAGACAUUUGAGGACUAUGCAGCUCUCGACUUCCUACCUGUGAUCUACAUGUACUCCAGCAAGUACACAAUGACACAUCUGGUCUUUGAUGUGUAAAACCCAUCAAGCCUUAAAGCUGAGACCAGGUCCAAACGUGGCCAGGGGGGAAGACACAAGGUAACAAAUAAGAACACCAUGCUAUCUAACUGGCAUAACUUCCUGAGGCACAAUGACAACAAAACAGAGUUGUCCCACCCUUGCCGAAAAGGUUGCACAAAUGUUUGCCCUAAAUACCGUCAUCGUCACAAAGGGACCUGCUGUCCUCAGCACUCGUGCAACUGGUCUUGAUGGACUGGAUAAAUGCUCUCACGAGGAAGCGGACUGCCGCAUCUUUGUGCACGCCAAACAUGCAACUGGUAGCCAAGCCAUCAUGAUCAAGGCAAAUGACACAGAUGUUCUGAUCUUAGCAAUAAGUGUAUUCAGCGGUCUCCAAGAGGCUGGCCUACAGCAUAUGUGGCUUGCAUUUAGGCAAGGUCAGACUCUGCGCUGGAUCAGUGUGCAUGACAUAUUUCAGCAUGUUGGCCAGGAGAAGGUCAAAGGCAUGCUCUUCUUCCAUGCCUUUACAGGAUGUGACACUGUGUCUGCCUUCCGCAACAAAGGCAAGAAAAUGGCUUGGCAUACAUGGGACAUAUGUCCAUAAUCCUUGCCUGUAUUCGCCAAACUGGGUAUUUACCCUCCCACAGUGGAGGACUGCGACAUAGAGGUGCUUGAGAAGCUUGUCAUUCUCAUGAAUGACAGAUCCAGCACAGCUGCUACUGUGGAUGAGGCCAGGCUUGACUUGUUUGCCAGAAAGCAGAGGCCCUAUGAGUCUAUCCCACCAACCAGAGCAGCUCUACUCCAACACACCAGGCGUGCUGCCUAUCAGGCUGGUUGUGUGUGGGCCCAGGCAACCCAGUGUCAGCCAGAAGCAGAGGACCCUGCAGACUGGGGAUAUCAAAAUGUUGGUGAGGAAUAGCAGAUCUUCUGGACAGCCAACUCUCCAAUAGCCAAGAAGACAGCCUCCACGUGGCCUCCCCCUCAAGUAGCCAGAGAGUAGUUGCCCUUUAAGCGAAACAAAUGUCUUGGCAAUGUCCACAAUGUCCAACAGACCCCCCCCCCCCCCCCACCUCCCAUAUCCAGUAGUAACAGAAUCCAUUGAAAAAUCUCUUUUGUCACUUAUUUUGGGUUUCAAACUGAGGUGUUGAAUUUUGGAUUCUGGGCAAACAAACCACUAGGGGGCGCACCCAUAUUGUUUGCGGUGUUUUUUCAAAACCUUAUACACAUACCUAACACCAUAACAAAAAUCAGAAAAUUGUCACAAAAUGCCUAAUUUUUAACCUUUUUUGACAAGUUUCAUCCUUCUGAAUUCAUGAUUCAUCUCUGCUGAAUUCAUGAUUACUUCAAGGCAAUGGCAGCCAUCUUGGACACCAUCUUGGUUUUCGAAUUUAAUGUUACAACCCUCAUGAAAAUAACAGAUAAUGGAAAUGAUAUUUUCAUGCAACCAUAUGCACGUAACAACAAUCGGUGUUACAAAUUUCUCACUCUCCCAAUUCUGUACAAGUAUCUAUAUGCUAUAUCUCAAGAACCGUAAUGGAUACAGAGAUGUACUGGCUACCAAAAUGUCCGCAAUACCCAACUUUAUAUUCAACUUCAAUAUAUGUAUGGGGCAUAAAAUCAAGUCAUUUUGAGUUAUAAAGGAAAAACCACAUUUUUGGGGCGGACAUCUUGGAUUUUGGGGCCGCCAUCUUGGAAUUUUGCGUGGCUAACGUUAUUUUUGAAAAGAGUGGGGUUUGAAGAGUAUAUGUACCAAAUUUCAUGCUUGUAUAACAAAGUGAACGAUUAUUUCCUUAUCUGCUCAGCUAAAGGUUGAUGGUGUUGAUCCGAAGUUGCUGGGGGUAAAACUGCUUACGGGAAACAUUUUUCAAGGCGUCCUCCACCCAUGUGUAACAUUCUCAGGUAAACAAAUCACUGCACCCCCUUGAACGCCCUCUGAUUAGUCCCGCUACUAUUGAUGUCAUUGGUACUGUCUACGAGGAGCCAGGAUCCAUCCCACACUAUCAGUCCCACAACAAAACUCUACACCAGUAAACUGCUUUAAUUAUCACCCCUAACACCACUAACAAAUCAUAAAACCACUGAGGGGUGCUUAUAAAGAAUAUGAUAUGGAAUGCGGUGUUCCCCAGGGUUUGAUUCUCGGCCCAACACUUUUUAAUCUCUACAUGUUAUCUUUAUCUUCAUCAGGAGGCAUGGCAUCAACUUUCACAGCUAUGCUAAUGACACCCAGCUUUCGAUUGCCAUGUCUCCUAAUGACACAGAGCCCAUUGAUGCCCCCUUUAACUGUAUUUUAGAUGUCCAGUCUUGUAUGGCAGACAACUUUUUGCAGCUAAAUCAGGGCAACACUCAGGUUUUAGUUAUUGGUACAGAUCCAUAGAGAGAGGAACUGGAGCAAAAAAUUACCCUUAUUAUAUCUUAUUAUGGUUUUGUCCCUUUAGUCUUAGGUUCAGUGUCUCCUCAUUUUCAACUGAAGAGUCCUCACCUAGUCUUUUGUGUGUGCGUCUCUGUGUGUGAGCAUGUAACUGUUUUAGGUGUUGAAUGUGGGUCAAGAGGGUGGGUGGGGUUCUGUAUUUGGAUUUUAUUUAUUCUAUUUUCUCAGGACCAUGGGGCAAGCAUACCCAGGCAUACAGGUCCCUAUGUACUUGUACAGAUGCCAGUGCCUGUGGAUUUUUGCUUAUUCCUCUUCUGGACAGAUUUUGAUUUGCUUCUAGUUCUACAGCUUGAGGAGUUGUAUGACAAAUGAUAUAUCAAAACAUGUGGAUUGAUCAGGAUCAGUGUGCUAUUGCUUUGUUGCAUACACUAUGGGGGGGGGAAGUGCAUUGAAGUCAAUGGGACGAGCCAAAAACUAGCAAUUAUUGGAGUUUUUCAAACAUCUACCUGCUCUGCAUACUUUCACCUAGAGACUCCAUUCAAACUUAAAAAUGUAGAUACAAGUCUUGUCAAUUUGUGUAUUGAUUCACAUUUUGAUAGGUAGUGUAGUUUUUGAUCCAUCACUCUUCAAUGAUCAUGAUCAUUUUUGGAGAAAUUUUGAGAUUUAAUAGGUGUGUAUUGUAUGGGUGACAUCAUCAGCUAGAUUUAGAGAAGUUGCAUGAAAUCAUCUGAAACUUUUGUCUUUUCAUGCUCCUUCCAACCACAAAUUACACUCUGACGCAUGUUAUUUUUUUUCCACAGUUGAGGACACAUUUGUUCUGUCUCUAACAAUGUGUUCAUCUGAGCAGAGAGACUUGCAUAAUUUAAAUACUGAGCCUCAAAGUGCGGCAAUGUCUCUCUCUGCUCCUCAUUGACACUAAUACAAAGAUUUUCUGAGAGAAGCAGCAGGGACUCCUGUUUAUAACUUGCAAGUAUGUUAACUGUAGAAAACACCAAAAACACCAAAAAAUCAAAACAGUCAGAAAGUCAUUACAAUGACCACUCAACUGCUUUUUUUCUGAUAGGAGCUACUGCCUCAGUCUGCGGUGCAGCUAUAGUAAUGGGCAACCAGCACAAUUCACUAAUCAGGGACUGCUCUGAUAUCUCUGCAUCAUUGAAAUAUUUAAGAGCAAUUUGAUUGAUGAGCGAGAAAAAAAAAAAAAAAACCUGACUCAAAAUAUAAAAAAAACUUAUUUGAGCCACAGGGACAUAUACAGAGGAACUGGCCUUUAAACAAUUGACAUGCUACAUAUAAAUUCUACAGCAGGCCCCUGUAAAAUAAUGUUAUACACUACUGCUAUACUGUGGAUUUUUCAAUUUGUUACUGUUUAAUUCUUCUGUAAUUCGUUGAUGAGAUGACACAUGAGACUUCAGACUCUGAUAAUGCCUCAGGGUAGAUAGAGUCACUAUUCUUAAACUGUGGAUUUUUUCUUAUUCCUCCUCCAGACAAAUUUCGACUUGCUACUACAGUCUUACAGUUUGAAGAGUUGUAUGACAUAUUAAAUAUAAAAAUGAGCAGUUCAACAGGGAUCAGUUUGUUAUUACUUUUCUCUAUUGUAUUUGAAGUUUUGGCGAUGUUAGUCACAAGAAACUUUGCAUUGAAGUCAACGGUACAAGCCAAACAAAAAAGAAAGUAUUGGAGUUUCUCACACAUCUACUAGUAUGAUUCUGGUAAUUUAUUAUAUGAAUGAAUACUUGAAAAAGGAAUGGUAGUUGUAGGUGUGCCCCUUGUAUUUAAUAUCACAAUGCUACUAAUAUUAAUUUUUUGAAAUCUCUAAAGAAACCCCUCACACCCCAGCAGUGGCUGUCGUAGCCCUUUUAAAAUUUCCCAGAGGGAAUUAUCUAGUUAUUUUUAUAUCCUGCUUGCAUGGGCAGCACUUUGCUCUACAUUUUUUUGUGUGAAUGGUGCUAUUUAAAUAAAGUUUGAUUCAUAGAUUUAUUUGUUCUCAUCAGGCCAUCCCUACUGAAGUCUUCAUCUCUUAAAGGUCACUCUCCCCGUCCUGUCAACGUGAUACGACAGCGUAUAACAAGAUGAGUCUCUGAGAGCUCUCUGCAGUCUCCUCCUGCUGCAUCUCCCUUUAAAGUGACACUACUUCCUGUCUAUUUCAGGAGACUCCUUAUUAAAAUGACAUUGUUGUCAAGAAGUCUAAAGGACAAACUGAAGCAAGUUCAUUAAAUCAGUAUAAGUGAAGAGGUACUUUGAAAUGGGUCAUGACAGGCAUGACUGAGUCAUAAUGCAGAGCUGCAGUAAUGUAUGCCUUUAUAAAACUCAUUAUUAAAGCAGGGAGACCUUCCUUCUGAGACAAUGAUGAAGACUAAAAUAUCCUCAUAGUGUUAAUUAACAUUCAGCUGGGAGAAAUAUGAGCAUCACAGCCCAUUAAUACGAUAAUGAUGUCCAUCUUUGAGGCCAGUUAGGUGACUGAUUAUAUCACUGACUGGACUACAUUUUUUCACACAGUCCUGGAGCAGCAAUAAAGCUAAAAGACCUCCUGAAGCAGCUGCUGGUUUCUGGAGACUGGUGCAGCUGUCGUUCAAGUGUCCUGUUUUGGGGGCAAACUUGGUCUGAUUAGUUGGGACAGAAUUCAUCGUACUCGGGAUGGUGCGGCUCGUUUAUCCAGAAAUCUGACUGAUUUUGUUAGCCCUUGCUACUCUGGCCGGGGUGGUGGAGUUGCAGCUACUUAUAAUUCCAGUCUUAAAAUUAAUGUCUUCUUAGUUUCCCACAUCCAGCCUCAAAGACCACGAGACCAGUACUAUUUGCUCCCUUGCCCUCCCAAUCCAUACUAAGAGUUUUCUCAGUUUCUCAGUUUCUUUUUGAUCUAGUCCUCAGUGCAGACAAGGUCGUUGUUGUAGGUGACUUUCAUAUUCAUGUGGAUGUGGAUUAAGAUAGCCUUAGCAUUGCUUUCUUGUCUCGGUUAGACUCAGUUGAGUUUACACAGUGUGUACACAGACCUACACAAUGUUUUUACCACACCCUCGAUCUUGUCCUGGCUUAUGCCCUUGAAGCUUAAACCUUCUAAGUCAGCUUGCUAAAUCCCCUUUUAUCAGACCGCUUCCUUAUAGCUUUUGAAAAUGUGCUAUCAGGCUAUUCUCCUCACAAUAAAACGCCGCCAACUAGAAGGUUGUCUGAAAGUGCUGUAGCAAAGUUAAUGGAGGUAACUCUGUUUUCUCUUAAUUCAGCAUUUAAUCCAAUAUGUCAUUAUUAAUAGGAUAUGUCCUAGUCUUUGAAAACUGCAGUGAUUAAACCUCUUCUUAAAAAACCUACGCUUGACUCAGGCACUUUAUCUAACUCUAGACCGAUAUCUAACCUUCCCUUUAUUUCUAAAAUCCUAGAGAAAGGAUUUGUGGUUUGUGAUGUGAAUCAGCUUUGUGAUUUUUUUUUUCAUAGCAAUAGUUUUUUGGAGAAUUUUCACUAAGGAUUUAGAGUCCAGUAGGUGACAAAUGACCUACGUAUGGCUUUGGACAAUGGUUUUCCCUCUGUUCUUGUCCUGCUAGAUCUUUGUGCUGCAUUUGAUACAUUCGGCUAUCACAUCCUGCUACAGAGACUAGAACAACCAAUUGCAAGAACUGCUCUAUCCUGGUUUAAAUCCUUUUUACCAGAUCCCAGUUUGUCCACGUUAAUGAUAAAUCCUCUGUGCAUACCAAAGUCAGCUACGGUAUCCCACAAGGUUCAGUGCUUGGACCAAUUCUUUUCACUUUUAACAUGCUUCUCUUGGGUAAAAUUAUGUGGAAAGACUAGGUUAAUUUUCACAGUUAUGCAGUGGACACUCAGUUAUUCUUAUCCAUGAAGCCAGGAGGAACAAAUUGGGUGUAGCAGAGAUGACCACUUUUACAUCCAAACUCCCAAAGGAAUGUAAGGCUUACAUCUGGUCACUGGAGAUGAGAUGGUGUAGACCUUUAACACCAAAUCACAACCUUUCUACAACCUCCUGUCUUUAGAAGACAACCAAAGAAGCCUUCUCAAAAGGACAAACCUUUUAUCCUUUCUACUUCAAAAGACAGAGACAGGAUAGUUUAUUGCCAGCAGGAAAGAACUGCAGGACCACUCAAUCAGUUAAACAUUUGUCAUCACACCUUGACUGGAAAGUGACAGGUUUAUCAGUUUAACCAUAAAUAUUAACUAUGGUUGAUCUUCCCUGUGUUCUCUUUGAGUACAAUCCAAAGAGAAUAACUACAACUAGUCUUAUUACAGGUUGGGUGGACACUGCACAACGAUCUUCUGUCAGUACUAAACAUUUGCAGUAAAACAGUCUUUGUCCCAUUUGUCGAUCAUGUUCAUAAGCCAAGAUCUCUGUAGCGAUUUGAAUUGAUAAUAAAUGUCUUAAGAUUAAUAAUUGAUAAUAAUCUUAAUUUAUGAUAUUUAUGCACUCGUUGAAAGGGGCACCACCCACACUUCAUGGUGGGAAAACAAAGAAAAACAAAAGUUUAAUUCAGAAAUCAAACAUUAAGUCAAUCUUAAAUUAAUCAAUCUCAUAUCUCAAGCUGAAAUUCUCAUUUCAGGGACUCCACUUGGAAGAAAACUAACAGACAAGAACGAAAAAUAAUGAUCUGUUUAUUACAGGAUAAAUGAUGGUACAACAUACAUGCAAUAAAUGAUGAUAAGAAAAUGAGGAUAGAUAAUAAUAGGUGAGUAAUAAAAGAUUCUGAGUCAGGCUAGUACAGGAUAGUAAGUGAAUAUGCUCUAACAUAUUAACCUGCAUUAACUUUGGUGUCAAGAUAAAUUGAAUGUGGAUUUGGAUGAAUUUAGGAUUAUAAAAUAAAGAAAAAAAUUCAAUCAUUUAGCAUGAGACAGCAUCAGCCCUGUUUGGAACUCUGGAGGUUUGCAUACUUAAGUGAAAUUGGCCCUUGGAGAAGAUGGAGCAGGUACGGAAGGUCCAGGGCUACCGGCGGUUCGAGAGAUUCAGCUCAGAAGAUGACCGAAGUUAGCCGAAAGAUGGGCCAGGAGUCGCAGCACUCAGGCCCGAAGCAAAAAACAGCGCUUAAUAUAUCCUUUGGAUGCUUCUUUGGUCUCACAAAAACUCUGGCACAGAGGAUGACUGGGCCUGCUGGGUGGCAUUCAGGGGUGACUUUGCAAUCACGGAGAUUAAAAAGUAGGCUUGAUGGCCAGUCGAAACUGUAGUGAUUUAAAUGAGCCUCACACGGUCGCACCAAAAUAUAUGUAGCGAUUUGAAAUGAGCCUCACAAGGCUGCACCAAAAUAAUACUGUAGCGAUUGGAAUUUAUAAUAAAUGUCUGAAGAUUAAUAAUCUUAAAUUAUGACAUUUAUGCACUGGUUGAAAGGGGCACCACCCACCCUUAAUGGUGGGAAAAUAAAGAAAACAAAAGUUUAAUUCAGAAAUCAAACAUCAAGUCAGUUUUAAUUAAUCAGUUUUAAUUAAUCAGUCUCAUAUCUUAAGUCGAAAUUCUAAUUUCAGGGACUCCACUUCUGGAAGAACACUAACAGACCAGAACUUAGAAAAAUAAUUAUCUGUUUAUUACAGGAUAAAUGAUGGUACAACACACAUGCAAUAAAUGAUGAUAAGAUAAUGAAGAUAAAUAAUAAUAGGUGAAUAAAUAAAGAUUCUGAGUCAGACUAGGAGCACUAAAGUUAAUGAUAGUGAGUGAAUAUGCGCUAACAUAUUAACCUACACUAACUUUGGUGUCGAGAUAAACUCGGAUGUGGAUUUGGAGGAAUCUAAGAUUACCAGAAUAAGUGGAUAUCUGAGUUAUGAACGCAGGAGACAGCACCAGCCCUCUUUGGAGCUCUGGAGGUUUGCAUACUUAAGUGAGACUGGUCCUUGGAGAAGAUAGAGCAGGUUCCGAAGGUCCGGGGCUACUGGCGGUUCAAGGGGUUCAGCUCAGAAGACGACUGAAGUCAGCCGAAGGAUGAGCCAGGAGUUGCAGCACUCGGGCCCGAAGCAAAGCCAGCGCCUGUGGAUCCUGUGGAUGCUCGUUUGGGUACUUCUUUGGUCUCACUCAAAACUCUGGCACAGAGGAUGACCUGGGCCUGCUGGGUUGCGUUCAGAGGUGACUUGAAAUCACGCAGAUAACUCAGAAAAACGAGACUCGAGCAGAGAAAACUUUCAAAAAUGGCUUCGCGAAAUUAAAGAAAAAUCAAUCAAAGGCUUAAUCUUGAAUUGCUAUGUGCGCAAAAAGUUGAAGUUUCAAAACUUGAACUAAGACGAUGUUAAAGAAAAAUCAACGUGAAUCAACACGUGGCGUAAACUUAGUUAGACUAAGAAAAAGUUCUAAGAGAAAACAAAGAAACGCACCACAGAAGGGUGUGGGCAGAAGAGAGGGUAUAAGAGUCUAGAGAGAAUAAGAGUGAACAAGAGAGUGAAGAGAAAAAGAGCAACCCCACUUCACUGGUUUUAUCUUCUCACACUGGGAGUGUUUCCGGGGUGUGUGUGUGAGGAGAAAGGAGGGGUCGUGGAAUCUCUGAUUAUUUGAUCUAACUUAUUCUUUUGGCUGGUAAAAGAGUCAGAUCUGAUACUCACUCACUAUGAUUAAUAUCAUUGAAUGCUAGGUUUCAUGAUAAAUAAUUUGAUACUAAACACAUAUGAAUGAAGUGCAGGAUCACAUCAAACAUUCUCAUUAUGUUUUAAGUAUCACAUUGAACAUGCUAAAUUACUCUGAAAUGAAACAGAUAGUAACACAUGGAAACUGUGAACAACAAAAGAGUAAACACAUGUGAAUGAACGUCAUCAUGAUUAAUAAUGGAUUCUAAAUACUCACAUUCAGAUUAUUCAAUGACAUUAUAACCACCUAAUGGUUAAAAAUACUAAAUAAACAUCUACAAUAUAAACCAAACAUUUCUAAACUAUUUCUGUGUUCAUAGAGUAAGUUAUGAUCCAUAGUCAAUAAAUUAAACUCUUAACAGUUCAUGAAACAGUCUGAAAAGCUGUUGGUCUAAAGAAACUAAAGAGCGAUAACUCGGCUUCUGGAGCACAUAGAAAAACGGGAAACAUCUCAUUUUAACACAAAUUUCAUGAUUAGACAGAUUAGUACAUUGCUGAAUGCAUAAGAUGUCAUGAUCAGUCAUUUGUAUUCUUUCACCAACGGAAUGUAGUCUUUAUCAGUGCAUGGUCGAGCAGGGUUUUACGACCGAGGUCUGGAGGUCAGUGUCCCCCCUUUUCCUGGGGUCCGUAUGUUCACACACUUUAAGACGCUAAAUCUCAAAUGGGAGAUCUGGGUUGAGGUUAAUGUUUAUUUAGAUGGUCAGCGAUGGAGUCAGUUUGAAAGGUAAUAAAAACUCUGUCUCUGUUCUCCGAAUCAACCAAUCGUGAAGAGUCAGAGGUUUAGUCAACCUCCGGUUGGGUCACUUAUUUAACCUGAAAGUGUAAACGAGUCUGGAAAGAUUUAUAUCCUGUUUCCUGGGACCAGAUAAGGAAACUUUCCUCUGAGGAAUGUGUGGGUUUCACACCCAGGGUUGUCUUGAUUGCUACAGUCCCCCCUUCGUCACGGUGGUCCUGUCUAUGGAGCAUCGGGACGACGAGUAGACAACCAUGAAGCAGCAGCAGCAGCAGGUAUAUGCAAAUAGGACUGAUGCGUCUCAUCGUCACUAUGUGAAUCACUAGGACUGCUUUGAGAUAAAAUUAAGCAUGCAUUAAGCUAUCAAAUAAAAUCGUCUAGUUUUUAGACUUUUCUCAGUUAACUAUUGGUAGACUAAUGUGAAAGAAAAUCUCCUAAUUUUUAGUAUUAAUGAGAUUUAGAAAAGCACUCUUUAGUCUGAAUGCUAACUGGAUCUAAAGCUAUAGCUGUUUUUCACGCUUGCUGGAGAAGUCUGAAAGUUCCAUUUCAGUUUCAAAAAUGGUUAAGACUUUGGUGGAAAAGAAAUGUCUGCUAUAGACAUAUUAACCAUCUGUGUAUGAGCAUAGUCAACCUGAAUCACAAACAUCAAAAGUUUACUGCACAGAGUUUCUCUUAAGCUUUGUCUGUUAAACUUGGGGAUGAUGCUCUUAUUGGUUUGACUAAUUAUCUGCUGUUGAGUCUGAAAUUUGUCAAUCUGAGUCUCAAUGACAGAAAUUUCAGCUUUUAAUCUGUUCAUGGGAUAUUUGACAGCUGACAAGCUGACCAUAUUGACAGAGGAGAGACAAAUGCUAACAAAGAAAGCAGCAACUGGGUUGCAGUCAUCAAUGUAUCACCACAGCAUUUGGAUAUCUUAUGGGAGUCAUUUAGCUUUGGCUGGGUGACUUCUGCUUUCGCAGGACUCACGCCUUCAUGACUCCACAGUGUUAAUCUCAGUGGUUAGCUGAGUGGUCAUGUUUAUUCACCUUCAAAGUGGAUGAAACCGAUUGAGGUGGAUAAUAAGAUCGUCGUUUCGAGAUCGAGUGUGAUUUACUCUGAUUCUGCCAGUCAUUCACCCCCCUUUGGCGGUGUUGAUGGUUUUUCCUUUGUCUAGGAUAAAACCCACCGUGACAGGAGUCUGAAUAACAACAGUUGGUCUCAAAGUUUACCCGGCAUUGGUCUGUGUCAGACCUGGGCCUUGGUGUGUAACUUUGACCUUUGUGAGUUUGUUGAGGUCGAAAAGGUUUUGGAGGCCAGGUUAACCACUCAUUUGGAGGCUUAUCGGAGCCUGAAAAUACACAGUCUGAAGUUUCGUUCAGCUCCAUGGGCAGUGAUUUUGUCUCCAUAGCCAAGAGAGUAACGGGCUCUGCCUUCUUAGCCAAAGUUUGUCGUUGUUUGGCAAAACCUUUUACAGCAAGUUCACGAAGCUGUCGGCUAGUCAAAGUGUUUGGACAAGCUAAGACGCCAAGGUGAUGACUGGUGGUAGGGUGGAGGUUCUGGACCAACAGCGUUUUGAAGUUCAAGUCCUCCUCCAUUUCUGGUUCAUUUCGGAAACCAAAGUAAGCUUCGCGUAAGCGGUUGUAAUAUUGUUGGGGAGAUUCUGAUCUCCCUUGUUUAAUAGACAGAGCAGCAGAAAGGCCUGUCUGGGUCAAAUAAUCAGAAAACUCUUCAAUUAAUGCUUGGCAGAGCAAGUCAUAAUUAUUUCUGACAUGAUAAGGCUGUUGUUCAUGGAAACUGCUAACCUCUCGACUUGACGUCGCCUUAAUAAGGUAGAUUUUGUCAUCAAUGGUGGCACCUGGAAAUUUCCUCAGGUAAAAGUCAAUGUCUUUCAAGUAGGUGCAGGUGUCAGUAGCACCUUGGUGCUCAGGUUCAAAGCGUGCUACGUUGCGAGCAAUUUUGUCAAGAUCCCUAUCUGAGGGAGAUGGUAAGAAGCCAUCAUGAGGAGGAGAGUAGGACUUUUGGCUUAAGGAUGACCUCUCAGGGUCAAGCAGGGUCCUGUCAUGAUGCUGAGAGAGAUACUUAAGAGUUGGUUUGGAAGGAAGUGAUGGCGCUCUCUCAGGAGGCUGAUCACCUAUCAUUUCUUCAAGAAAUGUUUGCUCCAUGCGUUCUCUUUGGGCUCGACCUGACUGGAGGGAGCAUUGUAACUCUCUUUGGGCAUCUUCAAGUUCUUUGUCUGUCUUUUCUUGCCGUUCUUGACAAAGAAUUAACUGUCUCUGAGCUAUCUGUAGCUGGUGCUGUAAGGUAGAAGUUUGCUUCUCCUUAACUUCAAGAGCUUCAGCACGCACUUUGACCAGUGCUUUCAAAGCAUUUACAUCUUCUGUUGCUUGCUCUAGUAGGGAUUCUGACUGUAUCAGAUCCUCUGUGGUCUUAGCAAGCUGCUUAUUCGUGUCAUCAAGUUCUUUCUCCUUUUUGUAAAGGGUUUCAUUAAGUCUUUCAAUCUUGUCUUUGAGAUCAAGAUUUUCUUCAUGACUUAUCAGUGAGGGAAGCUUUGACGCUUCACAUCUGGCACUGUGUUUUUCUAAAACACUUAGAGACUUCUUAGUCUCCUCUAGCGUCUUUUUCAGUGCGCUGUUUUCAUCUUUUUGCGUCUUUAUCUUUGCUAAAGCGCAUUCCAGCAAGUAGUCUUUAUACUCAAGCUGAGAAGACAUCACGACAGACAUGCAUCUAGUGAGCUCUUUGUCACGCAGUGUCGUGGUUAAGGCUGUUUCCAGUAAGUCAGCCAUUGCAUCCUCCGGAUUGGAGGGUUUGGCCUUUCGAAUCUUAGUCAUGUACUGAGGUAUCAGCUGACUAGUCAAGUUUGCCAACACUGUGUGUAUGUCCCUCAGGGGGUCUCCCUGGCUGGACUCUUUUGUGUUAGGCAUGUUUGGUUUUGGUAAAGAGGUGCAGCUGGUUGGUUGAUGAGUUUGAGUUGACUUAAAAUGAAAGGAAGAAGCACAAUAUCAAAUUAAGUGGGUUAAUCGACUUAAUUUAUCAGUGCUUGAUAAAGAGGAAGAGCCUAUCUGAGUAGAUAUCUAAUGGAGAGAAAAAAAACAUUAAGUUAAAUUCAUUUCAAUAAAAAUUGAAAGAAAAACAAGGUGAAAUAAUGUUAAAUUAAAUUUAACAUCAGAUACAGAACCAUUGAAUAAAGGGUUCAAUUUGUCUCCGUGUUGCAGAGAUCGGCAAAGCUUAAAUAAACUGCCUGAUGCAGUUGGAUGAAUUUGAAAAAUCAAUGAAAUUGUCAAUUUAAGGAAUUAACUCUGAAGUUAAUUCACAAAUUGCAAUAAAUCCAAAGGUUCAACUACCAAAUCCAUCUGGAGUGUUAAAAGAAAUUUCAAAUAUUAAUUAAUUUGUUCAUUAAUUAAUUAAUCAAUCUUAUGAGGAGGGUUAAUACAUUCACGUAUUAUAGGGAACAGUAAAACUGCUCACUGGUGUGAUAAGUAACAACAGAUCAGGUGAUUGAUUCAAGGAGUUACUUCAUCAAUACAUCAUGGAGGCUCUUAUAACAAAGAUAAAAAUCAAAAUCAAUGAUCAGUGAUUUAGAAUAAGCACAUCAAACUUCAUCAACCAAGUCAAUCACUUGAAUUAUGUCUGUAGAGUGUUACACACUGACUACAGAGAGGCAGUACAGCUGGCUGAUACUGCAGGCAGAUAAUAGCAGUGUUAGCUCAAUACCAAAAGCAACCAUGUGGGGCAGUAUGGAGUUGGGAGAACUGCACAAGCUCAACACAAGUAGAGAAGAAGAAGAAAAGAGGAAACAGUCAUCCAACUAGCCUCUCGUGGCUGUGUGAAGUUGGGAAGCAUGAGGGAAGGGGCCUUUAGGCUCUGCCUCCUUGAAGGGCCUUAUCUGCUUAAGGCCAAAAGGUCAGUCUCUCCACUGACAACAAAGGGUUAACAUUUCACAGCAGGCUGCAUCUGCACCCUCAGACAUAGAACUUUACACCAUCUGCUCAGGCAGAUUGGUUCAAUAGAAUCAUUUACAGGAACAAGAAUCAAAGUGACAAAUCCUUAAACAGCAGAUUCAACUGCAAACUUAAAAUCACAAAUGCAGCGAUUUGUGAACACAAAUUUUGUCUGAAUUCAAUCAAACAACAACCUCCCACUGUUACAGUGGUUUCCUGUGACAGGUAGCUAAUCUGUCAGGGGAAAGGAGGAAAUCUGAAUCCCAUAUAGUUACUAGAACCUCGUAGCAGACUAUAGAGACUUCAGGGGCUUGAAACCACAGCUCGGAGCAUCGCGAACACUGGGUUCAGCCAAAGGCCUUAAAUACAAGCGUACGGCGACGCAACAAUCGUGCACUUAAAUAUUGGACAGUCUAGACAGAGCAGAAGAAGCAGUCUCACUGCUACUCAGAACAACAUUUCACGCUGUCCAGCUCAAACACAGACUACAGGCAUGUAGUACAAAAGUGUGUGAAACACAGAGCACAAAGGUUUUAUGCAUAGAUCAGGAAAACAUCAGAACUUAGUCAAGCAACUUCAGCAAGCAUAGCAUUGAUUGUGAUUAAGUCUAAAAUAGCCGGGAAAUAAGUUUCUCUCAUCAAUUUGGAAGCUAAGUUUUAGGUUGUCUGUUAGUAUCCAGAAGUUUUGUUUGAAACGCCUCACACGGGGCACCAAAAUAUAUGUAGUGAUUUAAAUGAGCCUCACACGGUCGCACCAAAAUAUAUGCAGCGAUUUGAAAUGAGCCUCACAAGGCCGCACCAAAAUAAUACUGUAGCGAUUGGAAUUUAUAAUAAAUUGUCUGAAGAUUAAUAAUCUUAAAUUAUGACAUUUAUGCACUCGUUCAAAGGGGCACCACCCACCCUUAAUGGUGGGAAAAUAAAGAAAACAAAAGUUUAAUUCAGAAAUCAAACAUCAAGUCAGUUUUAAUUAAUCAGUUUUAAUUAAUCAGUCUCAUAUCUUAAGUCGAAAUUCUAAUUUCAGGGACUCCACUUCUGGAAGAACACUAACAGACCAGAACUUAGAAAAAUAAUUAUCUGUUUAUUACAGGAUAAAUGAUGGUACAACACACAUGCAAUAAAUGAUGAUAAGAUAAUGAAGAUAAAUAAUAAUAGGUGAAUAAAUAAAGAUUCUGAGUCAGACUAGGAGCACUAAAGUUAAUGAUAGUGAGUGAAUAUGCGCUAACAUAUUAACCUACACUAACUUUGGUGUCGAGAUAAACUCGGAUGUGGAUUUGGAGGAAUCUAAGAUUACCAGAAUAAGUGGAUAUCUGAGUUAUGAACGCAGGAGACAGCACCAGCCCUCUUUGGAGCUCUGGAGGUUUGCAUACUUAAGUGAGACUGGUCCUUGGAGAAGAUAGAGCAGGUUCCGAAGGUCCGGGGCUACUGGCGGUUCAAGGGGUUCAGCUCUGAAGACGACUGAAGUCAGCCGAAGGAUGAGCCAGGAGUUGCAGCACUCGGGCCCGAAGCAAAGCCAGCGCCUGUGGCUCCUGUGGAUGCUCGUUUGGGUACUUCUUUGGUCUCACUCAAAACUCUGGCACAGAGGAUGACCUGGGCCUGCUGGGUUGCGUUCAGAGGUAACUUGAAAUCACGCAGAUAACUCAGAAAAACGAGACUCGAGCAGAGAAAACUUUCAAAAAUGGCUUCGCGAAAUUAAAGAAAAAUCAAUCAAAGGCUUAAUCUUGAAUUGCUAUGUGCGCAAAAAGUUGAAGUUUCAAAACUUGAAUUAAGACGAUGUUAAAGAAAAAUCAACGUGAAUCAACACGUGGCGUAAACUUAGUUAGACUAAGAAAAAGUUCUAAGAGAAAACAAAGAAACGCACCACAGAAGGGUGUGGGCAGAAGAGAGGGUAUAAGAGUCUAGAGAGAAUAAGAGUGAACAAGAGAGUGAAGAGAAAAAGAGCAACCCCACUUCACUGGUUUUAUCUUCUCACACUGGGAGUGUUUCCGGGGUGUGUGUGUGAGGAGAAAGGAGGGGUCGUGGAAUCUCUGAUUAUUUGAUCUAACUUAUUCUUUUGGCUGGUAAAAGAGUCAGAUCUGAUACUCACUCACUAUAAUUAAUAUCAUUGAAUGCUAGGUUUCAUGAUAAAUAAUUUGAUACUAAACACAUAUGAAUGAAGUGCAGGAUCACAUCAAACAUUCUCAUUAUGUUUUAAGUAUCACAUUGAACAUGCUAAAUUACUCUGAAAUGAAACAGAGAGUAACACAUGGAAACUGUGAACAACAAAAGAGUAAACACAUGUGAAUGAACGUCAUCAUGAUUAAUAAUGGAUUCUAAAUACUCACAUUCAGAUUAUUCAAUGACAUUAUAACCACCUAAUGGUUAAAAAUACUAAAUAAACAUCUACAAUAUAAACCAAACAUUUCUAAACUAUUUCUGUGUUCAUAGAGUAAGUUAUGAUCCAUAGUCAAUAAAUUAAACUCUUAACAGUUCAUGAAACAGUCUGAAAAGCUGUUGGUCUAAAGAAACUAAAGAGCGAUAACUCGGCUUCUGGAGCACAUAGAAAAACGGGAAACAUCUCAUUUUAACACAAAUUUCAUGAUUAGACAGAUUAGUACAUUGCUGAAUGCAUAAGAUGUCAUGAUCAGUCAUUUGUAUUCUUUCACCAACGGAAUGUAGUCUUUAUCAGUGCAUGGUCGAGCAGGGUUUUACGACCGAGGUCUGGAGGUCAGUGUCCCCCCUUUUCCUGGGGUCCGUAUGUUCACACACUUUAAGACGCUAAAUCUCAAAUGGGAGAUCUGGGUUGAGGUUAAUGUUUAUUUAGAUGGUCAGCGAUGGAGUCAGUUUGAAAGGUAAUAAAAACUCUGUCUCUGUUCUCCGAAUCGACCAAUCGUGAAGAGUCAGAGGUUUAGUCAACCUCCGGUUGGGUCACUUAUUUAACCUGAAAGUGUAAACGAGUCUGGAAAGAUUUAUAUCCUGUUUCCUGGGACCAGAUAAGGAAACUUUCCUCUGAGGAAUGUGUGGGUUUCACACCCAGGGUUGUCUUGAUUGCUACAAAACUAUUU
This 28965-nucleotide long non-coding RNA is filed under the name Xyrichtys novacula (pearly razorfish). Lineage: Eukaryota; Metazoa; Chordata; Actinopteri; Labriformes; Labridae. The record is from RNAcentral.